This 3718-nucleotide long non-coding RNA is filed under the name Phocoena sinus (vaquita). RNAcentral's name for it is "lncRNA (ENSPSNG00000018294.1)". Lineage: Eukaryota; Metazoa; Chordata; Mammalia; Artiodactyla; Phocoenidae. The record is from RNAcentral.
GUGGGGGUCAAGGGUGGAAAUCUUACAGAGCUGAUCAGAGCCCCUGAAGGCGCGGCCAGCUUCUCACUCACCCCUGCUCCGUCCACUUAUGAGCUGGCUGCAUAGCCACAGGGAAGCUCCGGGGCUGCAGCUGUCCACAGGCAAGAGGUCACUCACUGCUUAAACGGUGUGAUACAGGGUAGGCUCUCUGGAUUAUCCAGUUUUCUGGAGCAGUGAGCGAAGCCUUAGGAAACUACAGAGAAUCUCAGAUUCGGCCACCCACAAAGGGGCAGACUCACCUAGGACAAGAUGAUCCUCCUCUACAUCUCGAGAUGCAGUUUAAUGAUCCAUAUACAGUGUGAUGCUUUAAUAAGGCUUUUUCAAGGCGAGGAUAGUGUGCGGGGGGUGGGGAGUGGUCCGUAGAGCCACAACUUGGUCAGAGGGAACUGAGAACUAACUUAGGAGACAAAAGGGAACUAUGGGAAACAAGUGACUGCUGGGGAGCCACAAACCAGCAGUCAGUCUUGGUGGCUUUACUUGGAUGGAACUGUGUCCUAGAAAUCCACUCCGCCCGCCCCUUAUUAUCCUGGGUUUAGCAUGCACGAAUUAGCUGGAGAGUGCCUUAAAGGCAGCCAUGCUCUGUCUCAUCAAAAGACCCCAUCCCUCCAUUCCACGCAAGUUCAUCAAGUACUUCCAUACACCAAGCACUGUGCCAAAGUUCAUCAAGUACUUCCAUACACCAAGCACUGUGCCAAAGUCUGGGGGUUCCAGGUCUUAAAAAAUUUAAGGGAAGAAAAAAAAAAAAAGCCACGGUUACCGGUCUCAUGGAACCUAUCCACGUGCUUCUAAAAGAAAUGCGUUUUCUCUUUCAUGAAGCCCUGAGUAUACCUAACAGCCUCACCUUGGCCAGGAUGCUCUUAUUACUUAGUUAUUCCUUGAGUUGGAGUUGCUAUUUUAUUUGGCAGCCAGCAACUGAGGGAAGAACAUUCCCGAUGGUAGCAAAUGUUCAAAUCAACAUUCAAGAAAGGUUAGAUGGAAAAGGCACUGAAUUGAACACUGCAUGGAGGGAAUUUUCAGACUCUGUAGCCAGUGCCCCAUUGGCUGUUGGCCAGGAAGCCACUGGAGCCUAAUUAUUGCACCUCCAGCCACAAGCCCCUUUUGGCUCCAGCAUUACCUCUACAAGCUCAGGCGUUCAUGUCAUUACCUGUUUUCAGCUAGGGAUGAAUAAAAGACAUAAACCUUCCACCUCACUCCAUUUUAAAGCCAAAAGGUAAGACCAGGAUCCCCUUUCUGCUUAAAAUGGAUUUUCUGCUACUGUGUCAAAAAAAAUUAAGAAGUGGUAGCACAGAAGGCAGAAGCUAAGCAUCUUUUUCAGCUGCUAUCAUCUCGUAGAAUCCAUACCGAGCCAUACUCAUGCAGAGACAGCAGGCACAUGAGAGGGUUUAUACUCUCAGUGGUGCUGGGAAGAACCCUCUCCCCUAAAACCGGCUCCUGCUCCUCCGUGCUACAGUGACUUGAAUCCACCAUUAGAGAAUAUUUGCUUUGGCACUACACUCUCCCCUUAAUAGGGUAACACAUUAAUCUGGUUCUUGGUGCUGGUAGGAUUCUCUAGGUUGAGACACAGAGAAAGUGAGGGGCCCAGAUGCCACAUAACCUAAGUAUAAAAUAUCUAGCUGAGAUUGUGGUUUAACAGCCAUGUAAUGAGCACAGCCAGUUCAGGUCAAGGAGAAUCGUGAUUGAUAGGAACAACCUGAAAUAGCAGGAACAUCGACGGAGUCAAGCCAUGAUCGCUAUGUGUAAAAUAGUCUUUAUCCUAAUUGAGAAAGGAAAUGGUGAACAUCCGUUAUUACGUGGAAAUAUAAAUGGAGGAGGCUGGUUAGAUCAUUUGGGUUUGUGAAAUUUAGGUUACAGAAAGUUAAUUUCUCUACUGUAAAGCUUGGCUAUUCUCAUGUGCACAGUGAAAAGGGGUGUAGAAUAUCCCUUUCCCAAAUUUGAUCUGAGAACGCUUUUGCCAACAAACAUCUUACGGGACUAGUUACAGUGGAAUACAUUUGAGGACCUGCUGCUCUAUUAAUUAAGAAGGCGACAUCAUCUAAUAAUUUAUAUGCUUUAUGACAUAGUUAAAUAAAAACUAAACUUAAGCCCCCAAGGCCAAUAAUUUUUAAAGUGGGCCAGUCUUACCCCUAGCAAUCUACCAGACCCUUCCAAGGAGUUAGUUUUAGGGGAUCAAUUUUCAGAUCCUCCCCUUCCUAUUGUACUCCUUCCUAAGAUUCAUCUGCCCGAGAAAAUGCCCUUUUCUCUCCUUACCGAAGAAACCAUCUUUCCCCAUAGUCAGUCUGACUGUAGAGCAUGUCUCAAGAUGUAAACAUCAAAAUAUGGUGUUUGGAAAGUGAGAGCCUCUUAACAGGAUACAAAUCCUUCUGCAAUGCUGGUGGUUCCCAAUUCUUUGCUUUCAACAAAAUUGAAGGAACACCCAAGAUUUCUGAGUAUUUAUUUUAGCAUGUAGUUCUGAAGGAGUUGGAAGAAUUCAGCUACGCUGCUGUCACAUAAUUCCUUCUGUUCCCAUCUAUCUCUGUGAAAGACCACCAAUAUUUCCACACAUAAAAUCGAAAAGGGAGAAUAGAAGUGAUACUGUACCGUGACAAUUCUAACAAAGAUAAUAUUAAUCUAUACAGAGGUGAAAUAGUUGGAGGGAGAAGCCUUCUUCAGCUCCUUAAGUGAUACAUUGCCAAUGAAAUUUUACUGUGUUUAUUUAGUACUUUAUUAAAAUGUGCACCCUAUUUAUUUAUUAAACUCAGUCCAGAGGAAGUUUAAAAUAUGUAAGAGCCUUAUGAUGACAGGAUACGUAAUUUUGUUACAGAUAUGCAACUAAACAACAUAAAAGCCAAGAAUAACUGGGCUAAAAUUUUGAGGGGGAAGUAGAAUAAAAAUACAAAUUCAGUGAGUAAAAAUGAAAAAUGUAGCAUUUCCUACCAUUAAAAAGUUGCCUUGUUUAAUUUUUUGAAAGGAUGGUAGUGGCUACCACCUAUUGUACUUAGAGCCUCUUGGCUAAAUUUAAAGGGGAUGUAACCAUUUUGCAGCAUCUACAGCAUGCCGGCACUUCGAUCCUUUGCAACUAUUUAGGAUGAGAAAUUUUAGACAUCUAUUUGGAAAUGUGUAAGGGCAUACACCGGUUUUCAAAAUUCACUGCUGAGGUCUCUGAACAUAAAAUUUUACAGUCGUUGAUCUAGGGCCACUAAGGAUGAGUCGUAUUUGGAAAUAAGAAGGACAGCUAAAAGGGGCUCUACUUCUUUUAAUUUUCAGAAGGAAUGUAGCUGAACUUUCUACUUAGGUGACAUCUAACUUUUUGGAGACAACCCUAAAAGCUAUAUUCUUGCCAACAGAAAGCUAAUAAGUAGAUGAAGAAAUAUGCAGAAUUACAAAACUGGCAUUUGAAGAAUACUCAGUGAUUUGUCUCAGGCUUUUCGUUCUCAAAAUAUUUUCUUCUUGAAGAGCCAGCUUCUACGGUGAUCCUGUCUCAGAAGUGUCCAUAUUUCUUACUUUUUGCUAGGCUUUAAGAAGAUGCAUUUGUAAAUGUGUUUCAUUAUUAAAGCUUAAUUUAUUUUUUAUGUAGUGUGUGCUUGUGUGUACACAGAAGAUCGUGUGAAUGAGUUACACAAAUGUUGGCUGUUGUUAACGUGAAAGUUUAACGGCUGUGUCACAUUUAAAAAAAAUAAAAUUUGGUCUCAUUGAAUACAGC